This 462-nucleotide ribosomal RNA is filed under the name uncultured bacterium. RNAcentral describes it as "partial 16S ribosomal RNA". It matches the Rfam family "Bacterial small subunit ribosomal RNA", at positions 29 to 523 of the family's 1533-position model. The record is from RNAcentral.
AAUGAACGUUGGCGGCAUGGAUUAGGCAUGCAAGUCGGGGGAAUCCCAGCAAUGGGGGAACCGGCGUAAGGGGCAGUAAGGCAUGGGUACCUACCUUGGGGUUCGGGAUAGCCAUCAGACAUGGUGGGUAAUACCGGAUGACGUCGUGAGACCAAAGAUUCAUCGCCCUUAGAGGGGCCAAUGUGAUAUUAGCUAGUUGGUGGUGUAACGGCCCACCAAGGCGAAGAUGUCUAGCGGGUGUGAGAGCACGACCCGCGCCACUCGCACUGAGACACUGGCGAGACACCUACGGGUGGCUGCAGUCGAGGAUCUUCGGCAAUGAGCGCAAGCUUGACCGAGCGAUGCCGCGUGAGCGAUGAAGGCCUUCGGGUUGUAAAGCUCUUUAGUGGGGGAGAAAAGCCGCAAGGUGUGAUCUAUCCCAAAAAUAAGCACGGGCUAAGUUCGUGCCAGCCGCCGCAGUAA